CGAUUAUUGAAAGACUAUGCGACGCGGGAAUUCAAUGCUUUCCUGUGGAUUUCUCUUGUUACCAUCACUGCUCUCUUGCUAGAGAAGGUUUUCAAGUUGUUUAGAUUAUGGGCUAAAGCGAGGAGAAUCACCGGCCCUGCUUGUACUUCCUUCUUCGGGCAUAAGAACUUUGGUUCCCGCGGGAAUUUCAUCGACCUGUUGUCGGAGCUGCACAAUAAAUAUGGAUCAGUUUUCAAGCUGAGUAGGCCCCANNNNNNNUCAGCUUCUGGUAUCCAUAAAAGACCCAGAACUUAUCAAAGAGAUGCUUUUGAAGGCCGAG
RNAcentral lists this unclassified non-coding RNA (319 nucleotides) under Hevea brasiliensis (rubber tree). Lineage: Eukaryota; Viridiplantae; Streptophyta; Magnoliopsida; Malpighiales; Euphorbiaceae. The record is from RNAcentral.